UACCAGCACCCCGAGUUGUCGGGACGAUUAUUGGGCCUAAAGCAUCCGUAGCCUGUUCUGCAAGUCCUCCGUUAAAUCCACCUGCUUAACGGUUGGGCUGCGGAGGAUACCGCAGAGCUAGGAGGCGGGAGAGGCAAACGGUACUCAGUGGGUAGGGGUAAAAUCCAUUGAUCUACUGAAGACCACCAGUGGCGAAGGCGGUUUGCCAGAACGCGCUCGACGGUGAGGGAUGAAAGCUGGGGGAGCAAACCGG
This 253-nucleotide ribosomal RNA is filed under the name uncultured bacterium. Its description in RNAcentral is "partial 16S ribosomal RNA". It matches the Rfam family "Archaeal small subunit ribosomal RNA", at positions 474 to 727 of the family's 1478-position model. The record is from RNAcentral.